This 252-nucleotide ribosomal RNA is filed under the name uncultured bacterium. RNAcentral describes it as "partial 16S ribosomal RNA". It matches the Rfam family "Bacterial small subunit ribosomal RNA", at positions 524 to 776 of the family's 1533-position model. The record is from RNAcentral.
UACGAAGGGGGCUAGCGUUGUUCGGAUUUACUGGGCGUAAAGCGCACGUAGGCGGUUUGUUAAGUCAGGGGUGAAAUCCCAGAGCUCAACUCUGGAACUGCCUUUGAUACUGGCAAGCUAGAGUCCGGAAGAGGUAAGUGGAACUCCUAGUGUAGAGGUGGAAUUCGUAGAUAUUAGGAAGAACACCAGUGGCGAAGGCGGCUUACUGGUCCGGAACUGACGCUGAGGUGCGAAGCGUGGGGAGCAAACAGG